CUCCUGGCUUCGCGGGGCCUGACUGCCGCAUCAGCCAUGCCGGUCCUGCGGUGGGCAUUGGCCUCACUGCACUGAGCAGCGGUGGCUUUCCCUGCAGACAUCGACGAGUGCCAGUCCUCGCCCUGUGCCUAUGGGGCCACGUGUGUGGAUGAGAUCAACGGGUAUCGCUGUAGCUGCCCACCCGGCCGAGCCGGCCCCCGGUGCCAGGAAGUGAUCGGGUUCGGAAGGUCCUGCUGGUCCCAGGGCACUCCAUUCCCACACGGAAGCUCCUGGGUGGAAGACUGCAACAGCUGCCGCUGCCUGGAUGGCCGCCGUGACUGCAGCAAGGUGUGGUGUGGAUGGAAGCCUUGUCUGCUGGCUGGCCAGCCCGAGGUCCUGAGCGCCCAGUGCCCGCCGGGGCAAAGGUGCCUGGAGAAGGCCCCAGGCCAGUGUCUGCGACCACCCUGUGAGGCCUGGGGGGAGUGCGGUGCAGAAGAGCCACCGAGCACCCCCUGCCUGCCACGCUCCGGCCACCUGGACAAUAACUGUGCCCGCCUCACCUUGCGUUUCAACCGUGACCACGUGCCCCAGGGCACCACGGUGGGCGCCAUUUGCUCCGGGAUCCGCUCCCUGCCAGCCACAAGGGCUGUGGCACGGGACCGCCUGCUGGUGUUGCUUUGCGACCGGGCGUCCUCGGGGGCCAGUGCUGUGGAGGUGGCCGUGUCCUUCAGCCCUGCCAGGGACCUGCCUGACAGCAGCCUGAUCCAGGGCGCGGCCCAUGCCAUCGUGGCCGCCAUCACCCAGCGGGGGAACAGCUCACUGCUCUUGGCUGUCACCGAGGUCAAAGUGGAGACGGUUGUUAUGGGCGGCUCUUCCACAGGUCUGCUGGUGCCCGUGCUGUGUGGUGCCUUCAGCGUGCUGUGGCUGGCGUGCGUGGUCCUGUGCGUGUGGUGGACACGCAAGCGCAGGAAAGAGCGGGAGAGGAGCCGGCUGCCGCGGGAGGAGAGCACCAACAACCAGUGGGCCCCGCUCAACCCCAUCCGCAACCCCAUCGAGCGGCCAGGGGGCCACAAGGAUGUGCUCUACCAGUGCAAGAACUUCACGCCGCCGCCGCGCAGGGCGGACGAGGCGUUGCCCGGGCCGGCCGGCCACGCGGGCGUCAGGGAGGAUGAGGAGGACGAGGAUCUGGGCCGCGGUGAGGAGGACUCCCUGGAGGCGGAGAAGUUCCUCUCACACAAAUUCACCAAAGAUCCUGGCCGCUCGCCGGGGAGGCCGGCCCACUGGGCCUCAGGCCCCAAAGUGGACAACCGCGUGGUCAGGAGCAUCAAUGAGGCCCGCUACACCGGCAAGGAGUAGGGGCGGCCGCCAGCUGGGCCGGGAUGCAGGGCCCUCGGUGGGAGCCAUGCCGUCUGCCGGACCCGGAGGCUGAGGCCAUGUGCAUAGUUUCUUUAUUUUGUGUAAAAAAACCACCAAAAACAAAAAACAAAUGUUUAUUUUCUAUGUUUCUUUAACCUUGUAUAAAUUAUUCAGUAACUGUCAGGCCGAAAACAAUGGAGUAUUCUCGGAUAGUUGCUAUUUUUGUAAAGUUUCCGUGCGUGGCACUCGCUGUAUGGCAGGAGAGAGCAAAGGGUGUCUGCAUCCUCACCAAAUCGUAGCGUUUGUUACCAGAGGUUGUGCACUGUUUACAGAAUCUUCCUUUUAUUCCUCACUCGGGUUUCUCUGUGGCUCCAGGCCAAAGUGCCGGUGAGACCCAUGGCUGUGUUGGUGUGGCCCACGGCUGUUGGUGGGACCCGUGGCUGAUGGUGUGGCCUGUGGCUGUUGGUGGGACUCGUGGCUGUCAGUGGGACCUGUGGCUGUCAGUGGGACCUACGGUGGUCGGUGGGACCCUGGUUACUGAUGUGGCCCCGGCCGCCGGCACGGCCCGUGGCUGUUGGCGCACCUGUGGUUGUUAGUGGGGCCUGAGGUCAUCGGCGUGGCCCAAGGCCGGCAGGUCAACCUUGCGCUUGCUGGCCAGUCCACCCUGCCUGCCGUCUGCUUCCUCCUGCCCAGAACGCCCGCUCCAGCGAUCUCUCCACUGUGCUUUCAGAAGUGCCCUUCCUGCUGCGCAGUUCUCCCAUCCUGGGACGGCGGCAGUAUUGAAGCUCGUGACAAGUGCCUUCACACAGACCCCUCGCAACUGUCCACGCGUGCCGUGGCACCUGGCGCUGCCCACCUGCCGGCCCCGGCCGCCCCUCCUCGUGAAAGUGCAUUUUUGUAAAUGUGUACAUAUUAAAGGAAGCACUCUGUAUAUUUGA
Molecule: small RNA, 2273 nt
Filed under: Pongo abelii (Sumatran orangutan)
Lineage: Eukaryota; Metazoa; Chordata; Mammalia; Primates; Hominidae
Description: retained intron
Source: RNAcentral